UAGGAGGCGAUCUCUCUCUCUCUCUCUCUCUCUCUCUCUCUCUCUCUGAACUGAUUUUCCUCUCAUUUUGUAGAUUUUUUUCUUCUUCCAGCGAGGUUGAGGUUCGAUUUUGCAUAGUAUUUGGUUGCAGCCUCUGUGUCACGGAGAUAACUCAAUUUUCUUGUUUUCUUUCUCUCUCCAUAGGCAGUGAUUUUGCUGUUCAGAUAUGUCGAUUUUGCAGAGUAUUUGGUUGUAGCCUCUACAGCACGAAGAUUUUGUUGGAUCUCCAGAUGACCUCAAGUCUACUUCUGGAUAUGUUUUGAUGGUGGCAAGUGGGGUUAUAUUGAAGAAGACUGUUAAGAAGACACUCACUGCAUCUUCCACUAUGCAGGUAGAUUAUAUGGCGUGUUAUGAAGCCAUUGUUCAAGCUUUAUGGUUAAGGAAUUUUAUCUCAGGACUACAUAUUGUUGACUCUAUAUCUAAACCAUUGAGGAUGUUCUGUGACAACUCAGCUCGAUUCGUUUAUCUCAUAAUAGUAAAAGUGCUUCAGGAUCUAAGCACAUUAACAUUAAGUAUUUUCUUAUCAGAAAGAAAGUUCAAGAGUCACAGAUUACAAUGGAGUAGACUGCUAUAGAAAAUAUGAUUGCAGAUCCUCUUACUAAGGGUUUAACACUCAGAGUUUUCCAAUAGCAUGUCAUUAAUAUGGGACUUGUUAGUUCUUCUAAUGCAUUUUAUUAGUGGAAGUUUUUCUCAAUUUG
Macadamia integrifolia is the source of this 737-nucleotide long non-coding RNA. RefSeq lists it as uncharacterized. NCBI's taxonomy places the organism in Eukaryota, Viridiplantae, Streptophyta, Magnoliopsida, Proteales, Proteaceae. The transcript is spliced from 2 exons. The record is from RefSeq and is a predicted model, not a curated record.